UACGAAGGGGGCUAGCGUUGCUCGGAAUCACUGGGCGUAAAGGGCGCGUAGGCGGCCGAUCAAGUCAGGGGUGAAAGCCUGUGGCUCAACCACAGAAUUGCCUUUGAUACUGUUCGGCUCGAGACCGGAAGAGGUUGGUGGAACUGCGAGUGUAGAGGUGAAAUUCGUAGAUAUUCGCAAGAACACCAGUGGCGAAGGCGGCCAACUGGUCCGGUUCUGACGCUGAGGCGCGAAAGCGUGGGGAGCAAACAGGAUUAGAUACCCUGUAGUCC
This 272-nucleotide ribosomal RNA is filed under the name uncultured prokaryote. RNAcentral's name for it is "partial 16S ribosomal RNA". It matches the Rfam family "Bacterial small subunit ribosomal RNA", at positions 524 to 796 of the family's 1533-position model. The record is from RNAcentral.